AGAGUUUGAUCCUGGCUCAGGAUGAACGCUGGCGGUAUGCUUAACACAUGCAAGUCGAACGGAAUCCUUAGGGAUUUAGUGGCGGACGGGUGAGUAACGCGUGAGAAUCUGCCUUCAGGUUCGGGACAACCACUGGAAACGGUGGCUAAUACCGAAUGUGCAGCAAUGUGAAAAAUUUAUUGCCUGAAGAUGAGCUCGCGUCUGAUUAGCUAGUAGGUGUGGUAAGAGCGCACCUAGGCGACGAUCAGUAGCUGGUCUGAGAGGAUGAUCAGCCACACUGGGACUGAGACACGGCCCAGACUCCUACGGGAGGCAGCAGUGGGGAAUUUUCCGCAAUGGGCGAAAGCCUGACGGAGCAAUACCGCGUGAGGGAGGAAGGCUCUUGGGUUGUAAACCUCUUUUCUCAAGGAAGAAAAAAAUGACGGUACUUGAGGAAUAAGCAUCGGCUAACUCCGUGCCAGCAGCCGCGGUAAUACGGAGGAUGCAAGCGUUAUCCGGAAUGAUUGGGCGUAAAGCGUCCGCAGGUGGCUAUGUAAGUCUGCUGUUAAAGAGUCUGGCUCAACCAGAUAAAGGCAGUGGAAACUACAUGGCUAGAGUGCGUUCGGGGCAGAGGGAAUUCCUGGUGUAGCGGUGAAAUGCGUAGAGAUCAGGAAGAACACCGGUGGCGAAAGCGCUCUGCUAGGCCGCAACUGACACUGAGGGACGAAAGCUAGGGGAGCGAAUGGGAUUAGAUACCCCCGUAGUCC
Molecule: ribosomal RNA, 746 nt
Filed under: uncultured cyanobacterium
Lineage: Bacteria; Bacillati; Cyanobacteriota
Description: bacterial SSU rRNA
Rfam family: Bacterial small subunit ribosomal RNA
Source: RNAcentral